RNAcentral lists this ribosomal RNA (450 nucleotides) under uncultured bacterium. Its description in RNAcentral is "partial 16S ribosomal RNA". It matches the Rfam family "Bacterial small subunit ribosomal RNA", at positions 354 to 796 of the family's 1533-position model. The record is from RNAcentral.
GUGGGGAAUAUUGGACAAUGGGCGAAAGCCUGAUCCAGCCAUGCCGCGUGUGUGAAGAAGGUCUUCGGAUUGUAAAGCACUUUAAGUUGGGAGGAAGGGCAGUAAGUUAAUACCUUGCUGUUUUGACGUUACCGACAGAAUAAGCACCGGCUAACUUCGUGCCAGCAGCCGCGGUAAUACGAAGGGUGCAAGCGUUAAUCGGAAUUACUGGGCGUAAAGCGCGCGUAGGUGGUUUUGUAAGUUGGAGGUGAAAUCCCCGGGCUCAACCUGGGAACUGCCUCCAAAACUGCAUGACUAGAGUACGGUAGAGGGUAGUGGAAUUUCCUGUGUAGCGGUGAAAUGCGUAGAUAUAGGAAGGAACACCAGUGGCGAAGGCGACUACCUGGACUGAUACUGACACUGAGGUGCGAAAGUGUGGGGAUCGAACAGGAUUAGAAACCCUUGUAGUCC